UAAAUUAGGUAAAGGUGUUAGCCUAGUGCCUGGCACAAACACUCAGGACAACUUAGCUCUAGCUAUUGCCCCCUUAGAUUCCAGUAUCCGUUUUGCAAAAUUGCUUUCAGAGAUUUUUUAAAAUUAUAGAUACCCAGGGCCUACCACUAGAGAUGACAACUUCAAAGGGCCAGGCAGCACAGUUAAAGAGCUACACAGGGCUUCUGCUGAUCAGCCAGGUUGAGCACUACUGCUCUGUUCAAAUUUCUGUGUGGGAGAAAUCACAUAGCAUUCAUUUAACUUCGGAUCCUUUGAAGGUGCUGAAGCCCCCACCGGCUGGAAGAAGUCACCUGGAUGCUGUCCACAGCACGGAGACCCCAGACGGGUUGGAACCAGAAGGUUGAUGACGCUGACUCCCAGUGACCUCACCACAAACCAACCAAUCAGGAAAAUGCCCAUGAGCUGAUCACGCCCUGCUCCUCAAACACUCUAAGACUCCUCACUACCUGUACCUCAGAGGGGAGGCCCAGUCCUGGAGGCUCUAGCCUGCUGGGUUCCCCUCUUUGUCUGGCAAUUAAAGCUACUUUUUCCCUUUC
Sus scrofa (pig) is the source of this 575-nucleotide non-coding RNA. Lineage: Eukaryota; Metazoa; Chordata; Mammalia; Artiodactyla; Suidae. The record is from RefSeq and is a predicted model, not a curated record.